GGUUCCAAUGACCACCAAAUCAUGCUAAAACCCACCUAAUUAACAUUGAUACCAUCCAAAUAUGUCUAAACUACAUACAACAAUCAGUUCCACUUACAGGAAUGCAAAAACAAAAUUUAAGACAAUGACCAAGGAGAAAGUAAUUCAUGGGUCCCCACUUAUUAACACAUGGGUCCCCACUUACACUAUAACGGUUCCAAUGACCACCAAAUCAUGCUAAAACCCACCCAAUUAACAUUCAUACCAUCCAACUAUGUCUAAACUACAUACAACAAUCACUUCCACUUACAGGAAUGCAAAAACAAAAUUUAAGACAAUGACCAAGCAAAAUGUAAUUCAUGGGUCCCCACUUAUUAACACAUGGGUCCCCACUUACAGUAUAACGGUUCCAAUGACCACCAAAUCAUGCUAAAACCCACCUAAUUAACAUUGAUACCAUCCAAAUAU
This 447-nucleotide long non-coding RNA is filed under the name Phaseolus vulgaris (common bean). RNAcentral describes it as "long non-coding RNA (PVUL_LNC004127)". The record is from RNAcentral. Lineage: Eukaryota; Viridiplantae; Streptophyta; Magnoliopsida; Fabales; Fabaceae.